UGAGAAAUACAUCUAAUGUCAGGUUGCCU
This 29-nucleotide non-coding RNA is filed under the name Rattus norvegicus (Norway rat). Lineage: Eukaryota; Metazoa; Chordata; Mammalia; Rodentia; Muridae. The record is from RNAcentral.